GACAGAGGGUGCAAGCGUUGUUCGAAAUUACUGGGCGUAAAGGGCACGUAGGCGGCGAAGUGUGUCUGAUGUGAAAGACCUUGGCCUAACCAAGGAAGUGCAUUGGAAACUACUUUGCUAGAGUAUGAGAGAGGAUGGCGGAAUUCCCAGAGUAGAGGUGAAAUUCGUAGAUACUGGGAGGAACACCUGAGGCGAAGGCGGCCAUCUGGAUCAUAACUGACGCUGAGGUGCGAAAGCAUGGGUAGCAAACAGG
RNAcentral lists this ribosomal RNA (253 nucleotides) under uncultured bacterium. RNAcentral's name for it is "partial 16S ribosomal RNA". It matches the Rfam family "Bacterial small subunit ribosomal RNA", at positions 524 to 776 of the family's 1533-position model. The record is from RNAcentral.